UACAGAGGGUGCAAGCGUUGUUCGGAAUUAUUGGGCGUAAAGCGCGUGUAGGCGGCAUUAUAAGUCGGGUGUGAAAGCCCUCAGCUCAACUGAGGAAGUGCGCCCGAAACUGUAAAGCUUGAGUGUCAGAGAGGAUGGCGGAAUUCCCCAAGUAGAGGUGAAAUUCGUAGAUAUGGGGAGGAACACCGGUGGCGAAGGCGGCCAUCUGGAUGAUAACUGACGCUGAGACGCGAAAGCGUGGGUAGCAAACAGG
This 253-nucleotide ribosomal RNA is filed under the name uncultured bacterium. RNAcentral describes it as "partial 16S ribosomal RNA". It matches the Rfam family "Bacterial small subunit ribosomal RNA", at positions 524 to 776 of the family's 1533-position model. The record is from RNAcentral.